UUUUUUUUUUUGUCACUUGAAAUUUUAUUGAUAAACUUGUUGUCGAACCGAAGUAGAAUACAACGUCCAAAAGAGGGAAGCAAAGCCGGCGGACAACGGUAAGUCCCCGGAGACAAAGCCAGAGGAAAACGAGAAUUCCCCAGAAACUAGGCCCUAUGUAAGGGAAACUAAAGACACUAUGACACAAAGAGCAUAAAAACUCAAGCCAAAACGAAAGUUGACGAACCCUUAAACUAAACACAGAAGCAACAAGGCAAUAACCAACCAAAAGACACUAGUACUUAAGAGGCAAAAAGACCUCUUCUUCCGUUGCACCUACGAAUGAGAUUUACCACGGCUGCCCACGGCCAACCCGAAGAUAACAUCAACAACCUCGUAUCAAGAUGAGAACUGAUCUCUCGGAACCACAACCAAGACUUCAUAACCCGGCAAGCAAGAUCACUUGAGAAACUCAAAAACGCUUCCGGAUGCGACGACGACGACCAAAGCGUCCAUUAACCAUUAACGUCUAGGUAGAAGACUUCAAACGCGAUCAGAUCCAAACCAAUCUGAAACGCAGGGACAAGGAGCGAAGCUAAACCUCUCGCGCAUCACCGAACUCAAACGAGUACGACGUGAUUUCUUAACUAAAUAAAAAUAAAUUCUAAAAAUAAUUGCUUGGAAACAAGUGUAUAUAAAAAUACCUAAAUUUUGAGGGUUCCAAAAUGUUAUUUAUUAUUUACGCGUGAUUUUUUUUCUUUUAGAAAGCAUGAUUUAUCAAUUAGUUAAAUUUUCCUUUAUUUGCUAAUUUGAUCUGAAUUUGAAUCUAAUACUUCAAUUUAUUAGAUGUUUAAUAUUGAUAAUAAGGUAAUCCCAAACUAUAGACCAUAAGAGCAUCCACAUUCGUAACAUUCAUUAAGAAUCUAUAUAUACAUUUUUGGAUCAUAAUUAGCAAAUAAAUCCUGAAGUUGAGAAGUAUUUACAAUGACAUGCCAUUAGCAUUAAUUAUUUAGAUUUGUUUUAUUUAAAUAAAGAUUUUGAAUUGAAAUUCAUUUCUCAUAUAUUUAGCAAAAGUCUCUAUAAAAUCUUUCCUUAUCUAUUUAUGUAAAGAUUUUGAAAUCAAAUAUGUUCUCAACAAUUUACCAAAAAUCUCUACACAAUCUUUUUAAAAAUCUCGACUUAGUUAACUUCUGAUUUUUAUCUGCAAAAAAAAAAUUAAUUGUAACGAGUGAUGUAAAAAUCGGGAAUGUUGAUACUACAAUUUCUUUUACUUCUUUUUUCAUAUAAUGAAAAUUAUUUUUAGGGAUAUUUUCUUAAAACCUCUAAACAAAACAAAUGGUUUCAAAAGAUAGCUUCUCUUUUGGCGGGUCGACCCGCAAACCCGCAACUCUCUACGGGCUUAUCCGCAUGAACCUGCGACCCGUAGUGGAUAAAAAUAUUAUUCAAAAAAAUAACAAAUGAUGUUUAAUUUUACGGGACUGGGUUAUAUGGUGCAACUGGAUUAGAUCAAUAUUUUAAUAUUAAACAAUAUACUAUCGAUGAAAUCCAAGAAUUAAAAAUCAAAAUUUAAUUAUAAAAUCAGAAACACUAAACAAAAUAAACAAUAUUAACAAAACAAAUACAACUUAAAAUUUUGCAAAAUAAUUUUUUAGUUAUAAAAAAAUCGACCUGCGGUGUACCGCAAGAAAAAUCUUUCUCCUAAACUGAAGCAAGAAGAAGAAGAAAGCCAAAUGUCGUUUAAGUGUAUAUAUAGAUAUACCAUUUAAACCUAAAACACAAUUAAUAUACUCAAAACUAUUAAUAUAGAUAUAUGGAUGGUACAUUUAUAAAAUAGGUCAAAAUAUUAUAUUAUACUCUCUAUUAAUAAACAAAACUAAUUAUAUUUAGAUUUUUUAAAAAAAAAUUAUAGCCCCACGGUGUACCGCGGGUUCAAAUCUAGUAUCUUAAGUAUAAAUUAUUAUAAAAUUAUUAACAUCUUGCCACGUACGGUGUCUAAAACCAGCAAAAAUGUCUCCCCACAGACACAAUAUGACACCGUAUAAAUUGUCAUUUUUCUUUUUUUAUUAUUCUUCUAAAUUUUGAAAACACCCAAAAAAUUGUCCGAUGGAGGUGUUCUAAUAACCCAAUUAAAUAUUAUGAUCAAAAGUAUUGCUCUAAAGGGCGUCUUUAGAUCUUAAAGUUUAUACAAGAUGGGUUGUAAAUUAAUAUGAUACUUUUUAAUAGCAAGAAUUAGCAAAAAAAACAAAGGCAUGUGGGGUUUUAUCCAAAUGUUUGAACUUUGAAGUAAUAAUAGCCUAUAAAGUUAUGUUCCCUCAAAAGACACACAACCCAACGAAAAAAUGACUGAAACAGGGAAAAUACUUAACAUUUAAAUAAUCAAAUUCACUCUCUUUUGGCGAAUGUAUGUGUACGUCAAAUAAUUCAAUCAAUGGAUACUAAUCAAAAAAAGGCUCGCGUGGACAAAUUAUUCAUCACUUUAGUUUGAUAUUAUUGAUCAAGUUCCAAUUUUCAAACGAACUGGCAAUAUAAGAUAUUUUUUUAUAGUGCAAAUGUAAACACCAAACGCAUCAUUCUAUUUUUGUUUGAUAUUUACCUUUGCAAUUAACAAAACAAAAUGCUUAAAAUGUUUAAGAUAGAGAUGUCAUUUAGAAGAAAAAUAUCCAGUAAAUGAGCAAUCAAGAUG
Molecule: long non-coding RNA, 2662 nt
Filed under: Arabidopsis lyrata
Lineage: Eukaryota; Viridiplantae; Streptophyta; Magnoliopsida; Brassicales; Brassicaceae
Description: long non-coding RNA (ALYR_LNC000653)
Source: RNAcentral